RNAcentral lists this ribosomal RNA (2918 nucleotides) under Aeromonas hydrophila. RNAcentral's name for it is "bacterial LSU rRNA". It matches the Rfam family "Bacterial large subunit ribosomal RNA". The record is from RNAcentral. Lineage: Bacteria; Pseudomonadati; Pseudomonadota; Gammaproteobacteria; Aeromonadales; Aeromonadaceae.
GUUGUAUGGUUAAGUGACUAAGCGUACAUGGUGGAUGCCUUGGCAGUCAGAGGCGAUGAAGGACGUACUAACCUGCGAUAAGCCGUGAGCAGUCGGUAAGAGACAUUACGACUCACGGAUUUCCGAAUGGGGAAACCCACUUAGCAUAAGCUAGGUAUCGCUGCGUGAAUACAUAGCGUAGCGAGGCGAACCGGGAGAACUGAAACAUCUAAGUACCCCGAGGAAAAGAAAUCAACCGAGAUUCCCUCAGUAGCGGCGAGCGAACGGGGAUUAGCCCUUAAGCAUCUUGGAAGUUAGUGGAACGGUCCUGGAAAGGCCGGCGAUACAGGGUGAUAGCCCCGUACACGAAAACAACCUUGAUGUGAAAUCGAGUAGGGCGGGACACGUGACAUCCUGUCUGAAUAUGGGGGGACCAUCCUCCAAGGCUAAAUACUCCUGACUGACCGAUAGUGAACCAGUACCGUGAGGGAAAGGCGAAAAGAACCCCUGUGAGGGGAGUGAAAUAGAACCUGAAACCGUGUACGUACAAGCAGUGGGAGCCCUUCGGGGUGACUGCGUACCUUUUGUAUAAUGGGUCAGCGACUUACAUUUUGUAGCGAGGUUAACCGUAUAGGGGAGCCGUAGGGAAACCGAGUCUUAACUGGGCGUCUAGUUGCAAGGUGUAGACCCGAAACCGGGUGAUCUAGCCAUGGGCAGGUUGAAGGUUGAGUAACAUCAACUGGAGGACCGAACCCACUAACGUUGCAAAGUUAGGGGAUGACCUGUGGCUGGGGGUGAAAGGCCAAUCAAACUCGGAGAUAGCUGGUUCUCCCCGAAAGCUAUUUAGGUAGCGCCUCGGACGAAUACUACUGGGGGUAGAGCACUGUUUGGGCUAGGGGGUCAUCCCGACUUACCAACCCCAUGCAAACUCCGAAUACCAGUAAGUAAUAUCCGGGAGACACACGGCGGGUGCUAACGUCCGUCGUGAAGAGGGAAACAACCCAGACCGCCGGCUAAGGUCCCAAAGUUCUGGUUAAGUGGGAAACGAUGUGGGAAGGCUCAGACAGCUAGGAUGUUGGCUUAGAAGCAGCCAUCAUUUAAAGAAAGCGUAAUAGCUCACUAGUCGAGUCGGCCUGCGCGGAAGAUGUAACGGGGCUCAAACCAGGCACCGAAGCCGCGGAUUCACGCUAAGCGUGAGUGGUAGGGGAGCGUUCUGUAAGUCUGCGAAGGUGUGUCGAGAGGCAUGCUGGAGAUAUCAGAAGUGCGAAUGCUGACGUAAGUAACGAUAAAGGGGGUGAAAAGCCUCCUCGCCGGAAGACCAAGGGUUCCUGUCCAACGUUAAUCGGGGCAGGGUGAGUCGACCCCUAAGGCGAGGCCGAAAGGCGUAGUCGAUGGGAAGCAGGUUAAUAUUCCUGCACGACUUGUAAUUGCGAUGGGGGGACGGAGAAGGCUAGGUGGGCCAGGCGACGGUUGUCCUGGUGAAAGUGCGUAGGUGGUGUUUCUAGGCAAAUCCGGAGACACAACACUGAGACACGAGACGAACACACUACGGUGUGGAAGCCAUUGAUGCCCUGCUUCCAGGAAAAGCCUCUAAGCUUCAGAUUACAAGUCAUCGUACCCCAAACCGACACAGGUGGUCGGGUAGAGAAUACCAAGGCGCUUGAGAGAACUCGGGUGAAGGAACUAGGCAAAAUAGAACCGUAACUUCGGGAGAAGGUUCGCUCUUGACAGUGAAGUCCCUUGCGGAUGGAGCAGUUGGGAGUCGCAGUGACCAGAUGGCUGGGACUGUUUAUCAAAAACACAGCACUCUGCAAACACGAAAGUGGACGUAUAGGGUGUGACACCUGCCCGGUGCCGGAAGGUUAAUUGAUGGGGUUAGCGCAAGCGAAGCUCUUGAUCGAAGCCCCGGUAAACGGCGGCCGUAACUAUAACGGUCCUAAGGUAGCGAAAUUCCUUGUCGGGUAAGUUCCGACCUGCACGAAUGGUGUAACCAUGGCCAUGCUGUCUCCACCCGAGACUCAGUGAAAUCGAAUUCGCCGUGAAGAUGCGGUGUACCCGCGGCUAGACGGAAAGACCCCGUGAACCUUUACUACAGCUUGGCACUGAACAUUGAACCUACAUGUGUAGGAUAGGUGGGAGGCUUUGAAGGCGUGACGCCAGUUGCGCUGGAGCCGUCCUUGAAAUACCACCCUUGUAUGUUUGAUGUUCUAACGCAGGCCCGUGAAUCCGGGUCGCGGACAGUGCCUGGUGGGUAGUUUGACUGGGGCGGUCUCCUCCCAAAGAGUAACGGAGGAGCACGAAGGUUGGCUAAUCCUGGUCGGACAUCAGGAGGUUAGUGCAAUGGCAUAAGCCAGCUUAACUGCGAGACGGACAGGUCGAGCAGGUACGAAAGUAGGUCAUAGUGAUCCGGUGGUUCUGAAUGGAAGGGCCAUCGCUCAACGGAUAAAAGGUACUCCGGGGAUAACAGGCUGAUACCGCCCAAGAGUUCAUAUCGACGGCGGUGUUUGGCACCUCGAUGUCGGCUCAUCACAUCCUGGGGCUGAAGUCGGUCCCAAGGGUAUGGCUGUUCGCCAUUUAAAGUGGUACGCGAGCUGGGUUCAGAACGUCGUGAGACAGUUCGGUCCCUAUCUGCCGUGGGCGUUGGAUGAUUGAAGGGAGUUGCUCCUAGUACGAGAGGACCGGAGUGAACGAACCUCUGGUGUUCGGGUUGUCACGCCAGUGGCACUGCCCGGUAGCUAAGUUCGGAAUCGAUAACCGCUGAAAGCAUCUAAGCGGGAAGCGAGCCCUGAGAUGAGUCAUCCCUGACCCCUUGAGGGUCCUAAAGGGCCGUUGGAGACCACAACGUUGAUAGGUGGGGUGUGUAAGCGCGGCGACGUGUUGAGCUAACCCAUACUAAUUACCCGUGAGGCUUAACCAUACAACACCCAAGAAGUGUUCUG